GAGGGUGCUGUUAUUGUAGUGUCUCCUCAGAUUUCGUAUUGUUGAACCCUUACCAGUUUGGGUCGUGAUGGAUGAGGGACCCCUCAAGCUGGCACAGGCCAAACGCCGGCUGGACCUGGAGGCGGAGCUUCGUGACCUCAGCAACCAGGUAGGUGGGGCCAGCGAGAUGUCACUCAAGGCUAAAAGCCCCGCCCUCAUUUUGCAUAGGAGGUAACGGAGCUGUCAAUCAACACCUUGUGCCCCGCCCACCCCCUGCAGGUGGCGGCUUUGGGGCGGAGCCUGGCACACGAAAGGGGGCGGAGCCUGGCAGAGGGCGGGGCUUUGAGAGCCCUCGAGAUCGCGGUGGGCGGAGCCAAAGCGAGAGUGGGCGGAGCCUUCCGGGCCCGGGAUCGAGCAUGGGAGCGGCUGCGCCAACAGCAGGAGGCGGGACGAGGCUUGUGGGCGGAGCUUGAGGCGGCGCGUGCGGCGCGGGAAGGGGCGGAGCUUCGGGCGCAGGAGGCGGAGUCACAAUGCCGGGAAAAAGAGGCAGAGCUGAAGAGGCUGCGGCAGGCAGUGGCUGCAGCCCACCAUGCCCGGCGGAAGGCAGAACAGGACCGGGAUGACAUCUCCAC
Molecule: long non-coding RNA, 611 nt
Filed under: Chrysolophus pictus (golden pheasant)
Lineage: Eukaryota; Metazoa; Chordata; Aves; Galliformes; Phasianidae
Description: lncRNA (ENSCPIG00010010722.1)
Source: RNAcentral